GGAUGUGAGGGCGAUCUGGCCACGACAUCUGUCACCCCAUUGGUCGCCAGGGUCAAUUCAGCCAAUAUCGCUGACGAGGUGGGUGUCGCCUUCCUCCUUCAACGCUCCUCGUGCAUCCCACUCUGUCAAAGAGGACAACCACCCCCACUAGAGGAGGACUCUUCCUCAGUCAAGGGUAUAUGAGUAGUUACACUCUCCCACUAGAACCUCUAAACAAGCUCUCAAGAGUGCAGAACCCAGGUUGGAAAUCCUGGAGAUUGGAAGGAAGGAGGAGUGUUAUAUAAAGUGAACUUCCAGCACCU
RNAcentral lists this small nuclear RNA (302 nucleotides) under Octodon degus (degu). RNAcentral's name for it is "7SK RNA (ENSODEG00000023286.1)". It matches the Rfam family "7SK RNA". From Rfam's summary of the family: 7SK was discovered as an abundant small nuclear RNA in the mid-70s but a possible function has only recently been suggested. Two independent studies have found that 7SK RNA binds the CDK9/cyclin T complex (known as elongation factor P-TEFb). The record is from RNAcentral. Lineage: Eukaryota; Metazoa; Chordata; Mammalia; Rodentia; Octodontidae.